Molecule: ribosomal RNA, 129 nt
Filed under: Diaphorina citri (Asian citrus psyllid)
Lineage: Eukaryota; Metazoa; Arthropoda; Insecta; Hemiptera; Psyllidae
Source: RNAcentral
GUGUCUAGGUAUAUCAGGUUGAAUGCAUCAGUUUCCAGCUAUUCCAGCAGACCACUGAAGUUAAGCAACACUGAGCAUGGAUCGUACUUGGAUGGGUGAUUACCUGGAAAAAUUACCUACCUAUACUUA